Kogia breviceps (pygmy sperm whale) is the source of this 1805-nucleotide non-coding RNA. The record is from the annotation of a RefSeq genome assembly. Lineage: Eukaryota; Metazoa; Chordata; Mammalia; Artiodactyla; Physeteridae.
AUGGAGGCCACGGAGGGAAGGCUGGCCUCGGGGACCCCACAGAGCGGCUGGAGCGCCAAGCAGGCGCGGGGAAGGCGGGCUGCCCAGGGCUCGCCGUGCUGGCCCAGGACAGGGGCUCGGGAGCCCGGGCAGGGCCAUGUCCACACCAACAGGGCUGGAACCCUGGGGCGACAGAGCUCGGCGGGGCUGCUGGGCCUUCGAGGAACGAGAUGGGCUGGGGGCCGGGAGCCUGAGGGCUUCGCUCAGCCAGAUGUGCUGCAGGCACAGGGCGGGGCUGCGGCUGAGGACGAGGCCCGGAUGGACAGCAGUGCCACACCACACGGCAUCCCUCACCUGUCCAUGCCCCCCGAGCGCCCCGAAGCCCAGUGGCCGUGCCUGCCCUUGAGCCCCUCGGGCUGCCCCUGUUCACCACCCAGCCGUCCACCCACUGAGCUCACGCAGGCAGGCCAGCCCUCAGGCCCCAUCCCAUCAGCCAGCCCGGACGUCCUGAUGAGCAAGCGAGAGCUGUCUGGGGCUGGCCGCCACCGUCCUCGAGAAGAAAGCUGGGAGCCGCACAGGGCUGGAACCCUGGGGCGGCUGCUGGGCCUUCGAGGAACGAGAUGGGCUGGGCGCCGGGAGCCUGAGGGCUUCGCUCGGCCAGAUGUGCUGCAGGCACAGGGCGGGGCUGCGGCUGAGGACGAGGCCAGGAUGGACAGAUGCGGGGGCACAACCGGCUCCACAGUGGUCGUGGGCUGCCUGGUCUCGAGCUACUUCCCUGAGCCAGUGACCGUGAACUGGAACUCGGGCGUCCCUUCCAGUGGCGUGCACACCUUCCCAUCUGUCCUCGGGUCUUCGGGGCUGUACUCCCUCAGCAGCACUGUGACCGUGCCUGCCAGCACCUCGACCGGCAAGAGCUUCACCUGCAGCAUAUACCACCCGGCCAGCAGCACCAAGGUGGACAAGCGCAUCGAGAUUGGCUCCAAAUGCACCACGUGUCCUGAAUGCCCCAAGUGUCCCAAAUGUCCAGCCCCUGAGCUCCCAGGAGGACCGUCCGUCUUCAUCUUCCCCCCGAAACCCAGAGACACCCUCACAAUAUCCAAAACACCCGAGGUCACCUGCGUUGUGGUUGACGUGAGCCACGAGGACCCCAAUGUCCAGUUCACCUGGUACGUGGACGAUGUAGAGGUGAACACGGCCAAGACGAAGCCAAAGGAGGAGCAGUUCAACAGCACGUACCGUGUGGUCAGCACCCUGCCCAUCCGGCACCAGGACUGGCUGACGGGAAAGGAGUUCAAGUGCAAGGUCAACAACAAAGGCCUCCCAGCCCCCAUCGUGAGGACCAUCUCCAAGGACAAAGGGCAGCCCCGCGAGCCGCAGGUGUACGUACUGCCCCCACCGCGGGAAGAGCUGGCCAGGAGCUCGGUCAGCUUAAGCUGCCUGGUCACCGACUUCUACCCGGGCGACAUCUACGUGGAGUGGCAGAGAAACAGACAGCCAGAGAAAGAGGACAAGUACAACACGACCCCACCACAGCUGGAGGACAACGGGUCCUUCUUCCUGUACAGCAAGCUCAGGGUGGACAAGAAGAGCUGGCAGCAGGAAGACACCUACACGUGUGUAGUUUUUCACGAGGCUCUACACAAUCACAACACGCAGAAGUCCAUCUCCCAGUCUUCGGGUAAUUGAGCCACACGGCAUUGUUGCCCCAGCCAGCCCUCCCUCCCCUUGGGCUCUCAGGGUCCAGUGAGGACCUGAGCCCCAGCCCUGUGUACGUUCCUCCGGGCGCCAUGAAAUAAAGCACCCAGCGCCGCCCUGGGACCCUGCAA